This 1074-nucleotide long non-coding RNA is filed under the name Sarcophilus harrisii (Tasmanian devil). Its description in RNAcentral is "lncRNA (ENSSHAG00000025175.1)". Lineage: Eukaryota; Metazoa; Chordata; Mammalia; Dasyuromorphia; Dasyuridae. The record is from RNAcentral.
AUGGGGCCCGGCCGGGCUCAGAUUGUCCCUUCGGACCUGGGGUGGGGGGGCUGCGCUUUAAGGCUUCUGGGCCAGCAGUCCCCCUGGGUCUCCCUCAGCCUUGGCUGGAAGACCUGCACACCCGGUGCGGGAGCCAAAGCAAGGAAAGGCCCAAGGUCGCCCAGCUCGGCCCAUGCCGGUGCUCCCGGCUUUGCAACGUUCGGAGCCACCAGCCUCCCCUCCAAGCGCAGCGUCCCGGCUUGGAACCCAGGACAACCACGGAGUUUUGAAGUUCUAUUUCUCUUUUUCCUGUCCUCCUUUUCUUUCCUUUGCUCCUCCCUCUCUUUCCCUCUUUCUGUCUGUGUAUCUCUCUGUCUCUCUCUCCCUCGUCCCCUUUCUGUGUCUCUCUCCGUGUUUUUGUGGCUCUGUUUCUGUCUCUGUCUCUUUCUCUCUGUCUUUUUCCCUCUUUCUGUCUGUGUAUCUCUCCGUUUCUGUUUCUCUAUCUCUUUGUCUUUCUCUUUCUCUGUCUGUCUUUAUUUCUGUCUCUCUGUGUGUAUCUCUAUCUUUUUCCCUCUUGAUGUCUGCGUAUCUCUGUUUCUGUUUCUCUGUCUCUUUGUCUCUCUCUUUCUCUGUCUCUGUCUUUAUUUCUGUCUCUGCGUGUAUCUCUACCUUUUCCCCUCUUUCUAUCUGCGUAUCUGUCUGUUUCUCUGUCUCUUUGUCUCUCUCUCUCUUUCUCUGUCUCUGUCUUUUUCGGUCUUUAUUUCUGUCUCUCCGUGUGUAUCUUUCCCUCUUCUGUCUGUGUACCUUUGUCUAUCUCUCCCUCUUUGUCUCUGUCUCUCUGUGUAUCUCCAUGAUCUCUAUCUUUGUCUCUUUCUGUCUCUCUCUCUUUAUCAUUCUCUUUCUUUCCCUGUCUGUCUCUCCUCUCUCUCUCUCUCUUUCUCCCUUUCUUUCUUCCCAGGACAGGCUAGAGAAUAUGGCUGGAGAAGGCUCGCUCAGAGCUUCAUUUUUGCCAGCGAAGUUUUACAAGGUGUGAGGAGGAGAGGGCUAUGGCGGAUGCCAGGGAUCCUUGAUACAUUUGUACCCUUCUCAAAGUGA